RNAcentral lists this ribosomal RNA (401 nucleotides) under uncultured bacterium. Its description in RNAcentral is "bacterial SSU rRNA". It matches the Rfam family "Bacterial small subunit ribosomal RNA", at positions 30 to 433 of the family's 1533-position model. The record is from RNAcentral.
AUUGAACGCUGGCGGCAUGCUUUACACAUGCAAGUCGAACGGGGUUGGGAGCUUGCUUCCAAUCUAGUGGCGAACGGGUGAGUAAUACAUCGGAACGUACCGUGUAGUGGGGGAUAACGUAGCGAAAGUUACGCUAAUACCGCAUACGAUCCACGGAUGAAAGCAGGGGACCUUCGGGCCUUGUGCUAUACGAGCGGCCGAUGUCUGAUUAGCUAGUUGGUGAGGUAAAGGCUCACCAAGGCGACGAUCAGUAGCGGGUCUGAGAGGAUGAUCCGCCACACUGGGACUGAGACACGGCCCAGACUCCUACGGGAGGCAGCAGUGGGGAAUUUUGGACAAUGGGCGCAAGCCUGAUCCAGCCAUGCCGCGUGUCUGAAGAAGGCCUUCGGGUUGUAAAGGAC